CCUACGGGAGGCAGCAGUGGGGAAUUUUGGACAAUGGGCGCAAGCCUGAUCCAGCCAUGCCGCGUGCAGGAUGAAGGCCUUCGGGUUGUAAACUGCUUUUGUACGGAACGAAAAGACUCUGGUUAAUACCUGGGGUCCAUGACGGUACCGUAAGAAUAAGCACCGGCUAACUACGUGCCAGCAGCCGCGGUAAUACGUAGGGUGCGAGCGUUAAUCGGAAUUACUGGGCGUAAAGCGUGCGCAGGCGGUUAUGUAAGACAGAUGUGAAAUCCCCGGGCUCAACCUGGGAACUGCAUUUGUGACUGCAUAGCUAGAGUACGGCAGAGGGGGAUGGAAUUCCGCGUGUAGCAGUGAAAUGCGUAGAUAUGCGGAGGAACACCGAUGGCGAAGGCAAUCCCCUGGGCCUGUACUGACGCUCAUGCACGAAAGCGUGGGGAGCAAACAGGAUUAGAUACCCUGGUAGUCCACGCCCUAAACGAUGUCAACUGGUUGUUGGGUCUUCACUNACUCAGUAACGAAGACACGACGUGAGUAGACCGCCGUCGGGAGGUACGGCCGCGAGGUUAGGUAACGUACGAAAGAAAGUUAGUACGGCGUGAGACGUAGCCGACGGACGACGACGAGGGGAGGAGGG
Molecule: ribosomal RNA, 634 nt
Filed under: uncultured bacterium
Lineage: Bacteria
Description: bacterial SSU rRNA
Rfam family: Bacterial small subunit ribosomal RNA (bases 1-541)
Source: RNAcentral